UACAGAGGGUGCGAGCGUUAAUCGGAUUUAUUGGGUUUAAAGGGUGCGUAGGCGGCUUUUUAAGUCAGCGGUGAAAUUUUGCAGCUUAACUGUAACAGUGCCGUUGAUACUGGGGAGCUAGGAUUUGGUUGCUGUGGGUGGAAUGUGUGGUGUAGCGGUGAAAUGCUUAGAGAUCACACAGAAUAUCGAUUGCGAAGGCAGCUCACAAAGCCAAGAUUGACGCUGAGGCACGAAAGUGUGGGGAUCAAACAGG
Molecule: ribosomal RNA, 253 nt
Filed under: uncultured bacterium
Lineage: Bacteria
Description: partial 16S ribosomal RNA
Rfam family: Bacterial small subunit ribosomal RNA
Source: RNAcentral